AUGCCGGUUCUUUGCAACUCGUAUUUCGGUUCAAAGUGUAGUUUUGAGGUUCUUCAUCACGAACCCACCCAGUCAAUCUAUGUCACGUCGUCCGGUUCCUUGAAGGUCGGAUGCCGGUUCUUUGCAACUUGUAUUUCGCUUCGAUGUGUAGUUUCAACGGUUCUUCAUCGCGAACCCACCUACGCACUCCAUGACACCUCGUCCGGUUCCAUGAAGGUCGGAUGCCGGUUCUUUGCAACUCUUGGUUCGGUUCAAAGUGUAGUUUCGGCGGUUCUUCAUCGCGAACCCACCCACUCACUCCAUGUCACCUUGUCCGGUGAGCAAAUAAACUACUACUCUUUUAAUUUAAAGGUGCAAGUCCCAAUCUCUCUCCUCUUUAAUUACCCAAGCCCCAAUGAGCUAGGUGCAUGUAGAAAUUAA
RNAcentral lists this ribosomal RNA (420 nucleotides) under Triticum aestivum (bread wheat). RNAcentral describes it as "partial small subunit ribosomal RNA". Lineage: Eukaryota; Viridiplantae; Streptophyta; Magnoliopsida; Poales; Poaceae. The record is from RNAcentral.